GGUCGCUUAGCUCAGUUGGUCCAGAGCGUUCGCCUCACACGCGAAAGGUCGCAGGUUCGAACCCCGCAGCGACCACAA
This 78-nucleotide transfer RNA is filed under the name Ignavibacteria bacterium. RNAcentral's name for it is "tRNA-Val". It matches the Rfam family "tRNA". Rfam says of the family: Transfer RNA (tRNA) molecules are approximately 80 nucleotides in length. Their secondary structure includes four short double-helical elements and three loops (D, anti-codon, and T loops). Lineage: Bacteria; Pseudomonadati; Ignavibacteriota; Ignavibacteria. The record is from RNAcentral.